RKKCGCCCUUAGAGUUUGAUCCUGGCUCAGAACGAACGCUGGCGGCGUGCUUARCACAUGCAAGUCGAACGUGAUCCAGAGCUUGCUCUGGUGAAAGUGGCGCACGGGUGAGUAACGCGUGGAUAACCUGCCCUGGUAUCUGGGAUAACAUCUCGAAAGGGGUGCUAAUACCGGAUAAGCCUACGGGCUCUUCGGAGUCUGCAGGAAAAGGAGGCCUCUAUUUAUAAGCUUCCGUAUCAUGAUGGGUCCGCGUACCAUUAGCUAGUUGGUGGGGUAAUGGCCUACCAAGGCGACGAUGGUUAGCUGGUCURAGAGGAUGAUCAGCCACACUGGAACUGAGACACGGUCCAGACUCCUACGGGAGGCAGCAGUGGGGAAUUUUGCGCAAUGGGGGAAACCCUGACGCAGCAACGCCGCGUGAGUGAUGAAGGCUUUCGGGUCGUAAAGCUCUGUCAGAGGGGAAGAAAUGAAACGUGCUAAUAUCACGUUUUCUUGACGGUACCCUCAAAGGAAGCACCGGCUAACUCCGUGCCAGCAGCCGCGGUAAUAC
RNAcentral lists this ribosomal RNA (550 nucleotides) under uncultured Geobacteraceae bacterium. RNAcentral describes it as "bacterial SSU rRNA". It matches the Rfam family "Bacterial small subunit ribosomal RNA", at positions 1 to 526 of the family's 1533-position model. Lineage: Bacteria; Pseudomonadati; Thermodesulfobacteriota; Desulfuromonadia; Geobacterales; Geobacteraceae. The record is from RNAcentral.